Molecule: unclassified non-coding RNA, 314 nt
Filed under: uncultured fungus
Lineage: Eukaryota; Fungi
Description: partial contains 5.8S ribosomal RNA and internal transcribed spacer 2
Rfam family: 5.8S ribosomal RNA (bases 1-133)
Source: RNAcentral
UGGUUCUGGCAUCGAUGAAGAACGCAGCGAAAUGCGAUAAGUAAUGUGAAUUGCAGAAUUCAGUGAAUCAUCGAAUCUUUGAACGCACAUUGCGCCCCUCGGCAUUCCGGGGGGCAUGCCUGUUCGAGCGUCAUUGCAACUCUCAAGCGUAGCUUGGUCUUGGGUCACACCCCCCCGGGUGGACUCGAAAAAUAGCGGCGGUCCGGGGGACUCCGAGCGCAGUCAAAUUCAUCGCUUCGCAAGUCCUUUCGGCCCGGCCGAAAACCUACUACUUUUCAAUGAUUGACCUCGGAUCAGGUAGGGAUACCCGCUGA